Molecule: long non-coding RNA, 1079 nt
Filed under: Phascolarctos cinereus (koala)
Lineage: Eukaryota; Metazoa; Chordata; Mammalia; Diprotodontia; Phascolarctidae
Description: lncRNA (ENSPCIG00000033627.1)
Source: RNAcentral
AUGUCAUCCUCUCCAGCAGCGGGAGGCUCCUCCAGCAGCGUGCUCGGGUCCCCACCGAGCUUCCCCCUCUGCCACUACGUGAGUGCAGGUGUGUGCGGAGCCGAGCCGGGCUGGAGCUGCGCUGCGCUCGGCUGGGCUGGGUUGGGCAGGGCUGGGCUGGGCUGGGCUGGGCUGGGCUGUGCCGGCUGCUCCAGGCUGCGCUGGACUGUUGGGCUGGGCUGGGCUGAGCCGGGCUGCGGGCAGCGGCGAGGACCCCCCACUCCCCAGCCAGCCAGCCCGCGGUUAUGCGCCCCCGGGCUCCGCUCCGAGAGCCCCCCACUGCCAGGCUGGCCGGCCGGGCAGCCGCUUCAGGGUCGUGGGGCUGGGGCCGCGCCCCCGCCAGCUGAUCGGAGCCCCUGGAUGUGUCUGUCCGUGGAGGAGGCCGCUGCUGCUGGCGCUGCGCUGGAGGUCCGAGAGGGAGCCCGCGGGCUUGGAAGGCAGCGGGCCGCUGCGCGCUUGGGAAUCCGCCUGGGGCCCAGAUUACUGAGGAGCUGCACGGGGCCCGGCGGCGGCGGCGGCGGCAGCGGCGGCCGCGGCCGCUCCAAUUCCGGACUUGUAUUUUUAAACGCCUCCGAGGAGACCGAAAGCGCAGCCCUGACCCUCUGCAGCCUUAGAAUGAGGUAUAUGUAAUUAUGCCUAAGGGGUCCUGUCUAGAGCAACUCAGCAAUGUCAAGCCCUGGCAGCUGGAACGGAGUGAGCUCCAUGGAAAACCAACAGGUCUAUGUUGAUUGCUACAAGAAAGUUAGAAAGCUUUUGGGAGGAAGUGUCAAAAACUAGAACUUUUUGUCUGAUGCUGAGUGAAGUGAGUAGAACCAGAAGAAUGUUCUACACAAUAACAGCCACGUUGUACAAUGACUAAUAUUGAUAGACUUAACUCUUCUCAGCAAUAUAAGGAUAUAAGACAUCUCCAAAGGCCUCAUGAUGGAAAAUGCUAUCUACAUCCAAAGAACUAUGGACUUGGAAUGCAGAUCAAAGUGUACUAUCUGCUACUAUUUUUUCUUCUGUUGUGUUUUGUUUCCUCUUUCCAGUGGUUCCUCCUA